This 94-nucleotide ribosomal RNA is filed under the name Pteropus alecto (black flying fox). Lineage: Eukaryota; Metazoa; Chordata; Mammalia; Chiroptera; Pteropodidae. The record is from RNAcentral.
GUCUACGGCCAUGCCACCCUGAACGUGCCUGAUCCUGUUUGAUCUUGGAAGCUAAGCAGGGUCGGCCACCUAGGAAUAUCAGGUGCUGUAGGCG